This 377-nucleotide ribosomal RNA is filed under the name uncultured Chloroflexota bacterium. RNAcentral's name for it is "bacterial SSU rRNA". It matches the Rfam family "Bacterial small subunit ribosomal RNA", at positions 521 to 896 of the family's 1533-position model. The record is from RNAcentral. Lineage: Bacteria; Bacillati; Chloroflexota.
UAAUACGUAGAAGGCGAGCGUUAUCCGGAAUUAUUGGGCGUAAAGAGGGCGUAGGCGGCUCUUCAAGUCGGAUGUAAAAUCUCCCGGCUUAACUGGGAGGGAACGUUCGAUACUGCUGGGCUAGAGUGCAGUAGAGGGAGGUGGAAUUCCCGGUGUAGUGGUGAAAUGCGUAGAUAUCGGGAGGAACACCAGUGGCGAAGGCGGCCUCCUGGGCUGAUACUGACGCUGAGGCCCGAAAGCGUGGGGAGCAAACAGGAUUAGAUACCCUGGUAGUCCACGCAGUAAACGAUGGACACUAGGUAUGGGGAGUAUCGACCCUUCCCGUGCCGAAGCUAACGCUUUAAGCGUCCCGCCUGGGGAGUACGGUCGCAAGACUA